UACGUAGGGUGCAAGCGUUAAUCGGAAUUACUGGGCGUAAAGCGUGCGCAGGCGGUCGUGCAAGACAGAUGUGAAAUCCCCGGGCUCAACCUGGGAACUGCAUUUGUGACUGCACGACUGGAGUGCGGCAGAGGGGGAUGGAAUUCCGCGUGUAGCAGUGAAAUGCGUAGAUAUGCGGAGGAACACCGAUGGCGAAGGCAAUCCCCUGGGCCUGCACUGACGCUCAUGCACGAAAGCGUGGGGAGCAAACAGGAUUAGAAACCCCAGUAGUCC
This 273-nucleotide ribosomal RNA is filed under the name uncultured prokaryote. RNAcentral's name for it is "partial 16S ribosomal RNA". It matches the Rfam family "Bacterial small subunit ribosomal RNA", at positions 524 to 796 of the family's 1533-position model. The record is from RNAcentral.